GCUCAGCCAAGGCACGGCAGCCAGUGUGAGCUCCGACUAGACCUGUCUUGCGACAGCGUGAGUCGCCACCAUGCGCUGCACCGCACUGCUCUUUGUCGCCCUCGCCGGGUCCGCCCUGGCAGGACCAACGGGCCAAAGAUCAACCUGCGCCCUGCACUGCAAUGACGCGGAAAGUUAUGCAUAUGAAAGCGGCAAAAGUUAUGUUUACGAAUACUCGGUGACGACCUCCACCGCCCUCCUGGAAACCUUUGAGGACGACGCCCACUUGCACAUCACCGCCAACGCCCACAUCGAUGUUUCUGCCCCCUGCGAGUACAUCCUCAAGUUGACCGACGUCAAUCUUGAUGGGAUCGUCUCACGGACCAGAGUUCGCUGCUGCUGUUACCAAGUCUCCCUUGCGCUUCUCCUUCCAAGAUGGCCAAGUGGAGAGUAUCUGCGGCGAAGCAUCUGAGCCGGCCUGGGUCCUUAACUUCAAGAGAGGUGUCCUUUCUACCUUCCAGAACUCCAUGGCCCAUCAGGGUGAUGAGGACAUUAAGGAGACAGACAUCUCUGGUGUUUGCAUGACUCACUACAAUGCUACAGUAGAGGGCAGCGUUGUCACCAUUGAUAAGGUCAAGGACUUAGCCACAUGUACUCAGACCUGACCUGACCUUCAUCCCCUCAACUGGAUACAUCAGUGACUCUCCAGUCCAGAGCCUCCCAAUCUUUAAAAGCUCAAGCAAGUCACCAAAGGGUAGAGGAAGGCCUUCUGAAGACGGCAGAAUGUGAGGAGACCCACGUGUUCCGUCCCUUCUCCAGCGAAAAGGGAGGAGCUGUUACAACUGCCAAGACUACCAUGAUUCUCAUGUCUCAGGAACGACUUACUCCUAUCACAGACUUUGACUUCAAGCGCAAUACACUGGCUUUCGAGCACACACUCGCACCAGAAGCUCAGCUUGAAGCAGUUGAGGAGAUCUUGAGCAAUCUGGAGAUUGCUUCCAAUAAUGAAAUCCUUCCAGAGGUUCCUUCACUAUUUGCCAAGCUCGUGUCAUCACUCAAGGAACUGGAUUACCCUCAGCUCAACACUGUUUACAACAAUGCUAAAGAAACUCACACACGGAAGUUCCUGGUUGACGCUAUGCCACUGGUGGGAACAGCUGCUUCUUUUGGUGUGGUCAGAGACAUGUUCCUCAAUGGGGACAUGACAGAAUCUGAGGCUGAUGUGUUCUUCACUUCAUUGGCUUUCUUCAAGAACCCAACAGCAGAAAUGUUUACUGCUCUUGCUCCUUUACUCGAGAACAACCCAAGCCAAAAAGCAAUGUUGGGAACUUCUGCUCUCAUCAACACCUUCUGCAAAAUCAAUGAAGACUGUGGUGCCGAUUCCAGUGUCCAGCAAGUAAUUCGUCGAAUUGAAACACAACUUGGAUCUGGCUGUCGCACUGUGAAUGAAGAAGAGAAAGUCAGGGUACUCGUUGCUCUCAAGGCACUUGGCAAUGCUGGCCGAUGGGUUAAUGCCAACUCAGUCCUAAGGCGAUGCUAUACUGAAGAUAAUGAGAUGGAAGUGCGAGUGGCUGCUAUUGACACAUGGAGGCACACUCCAUGUGAAUAUGACCGAUCUCACCUUCUGGCUGCUUUCCAAGAUGAAACUCAGGACACAGAGGUUCGCAUUGCUGCCUACCUUGCUCUCAUGACCUGUCCUACUCCAGACCUUAUCAAUACCAUCAAGGACCGUCUCACUUCAGAAGGUGUCAACCAGGUGGGCUCCUUCAUCUGGACUCAUAUGACCAACAUGCAGGAAUCAGCUGCUCCAAAAACAGGGCUCGUCAAAUGAUUGGCGAGGAACUUCUCCAGAAAAAGUUCAGUACCGAAGCCCUCAAGUUUUCUCGCAACUAUGAAUCCUCUUUCUUCAUGAAUGAAAUCAACACUGGGGCUUCAGUUGAAAGCAAUGUCAUCUUCUCCAGCAAGUCCUACCUGCCACGUUCUGCAAUGCUGAACCUCACCCUCGACCUCUUUGGACAGUCUAUCAACUUCUUUGAGGUUGGUGGAAGAAUCGAAGGUUUUGAGGCUUACAUUGAACGCUUCUUUGGUCCUAGAGGAUAUUACCCAGAGGAAACCAUUGAAACCAUCCUAAGGAAUAUGCGACAGAACAGUGACGCUGAUGCCACCACGCUUGAAGGCUUCCUUGACCACAUAACUGAUGAACCGAAGGGAUCCUACUACCUCCGAGUUUUUGGCAAUGAGCUUCAUUACCACCACUUCUUAGGACUUGAAAACCUCAUCCAAACAUCCGGUGCUUCUAACCCACUGGAAUUCUUGAUGAAUCUGGCUCGUCAGGGAGAUGUUGAUUACACAAAAUCUUACCAGCUAAUGGACACUCACCACACCAUUCCUACUGUGACUGGUUUACCUGUGACCCUCACUGCAAAGGGAACAGCUACCCUUGGACUCAAUGAAUGGAAACUUCAAGGCUCGUAGUCUCAAGAAUAUAAACAUUGAAGGACACCUCCAUCCUUCGGCCGCAGUUCAAAUUGAUGGCGUUAUGCUCGUCGAUGCCCACGUGUCUCGCACUGGACUGAAGAUGUCUUCCAACCUUCACACCUCCACAUUCCUUGAUGGCAAGCUUCAGAUCAAUGGUGGUAAACUAGUCGAUGUUGCCUUCAACACACCCAAGGACAAGAUGGAAGUUAUCAAUCAAGACCGAGUUCUUCUACCUGGAAGAUGAUCAAGAGAUCCGAAAGGAAGUUGCAAACCUCAUCCAAGAAGAGAGCUGCACUAGUGGAGUCAGUGGCGUUGCCUUGUGUGGUGAAUACAGCUACGCUCCUUGCUCGGAAUAUGGCCCAAGCUUCCCCUUCACAGGACCUUUUGCAACAAGUGUUCAUUUCAAGAAGACAAACACUCAGACUGGAUAUGUCCUGCGCUUCACUCACGAAGGUGAUCAGUUUGUUUUCUUGUUUGACACACCAGGAUCACAAACAGAUCGUAAAGUCCUUCUUACUAUUACCAAGGCUGCUAAAGCAAUCAGCUUUGAUCUUCACACGCCAUUUAAAUCAGUCCAAGGUAGUGGCGAAUAUCUCUGGCAGAAGAAUAACAAGAACACUAAGCUGGCACUCGUUGUUGAUGAAAAUCAACAAUACAUGCUAGAGGCUGGUCUACGUACAAGCGGAAAAACAGUCAAGACACUUGUCCCAUCUUUCAUUCUCACUUCCCCUGGUCAAGUAUUGAAUGUACAAGGAAACUUCCAGGCCAACACGGAUGCUGCUAAAUAUGUUGCUGAUGUUACCAUCUCGGAGAUGACUGCAUCCCCCAUCAUUGUACACGCAUCGUUUGAGGGCGAAAGUAACUCUGUUGCCAUGAACGUUGAUCUGAAAACACCAAUCAUUGACACAUUGGUCAAGAGUGAGUUUGGUUAUGGUGAGAACUUCCUUUCAUCCAAGGUGGAAGCAGAGUACAGUAUUAUGAAAGAGGCCAAACAGACGGUCCACCAUUCUGCCCUUCUCAAGAAGGAAACCACAGAGGACCUCUCCAAGUACACCAUUGUCUUUGACGUCUCCCCAUCACAGUACCCUGAAAUGACAUUAGAUUAUAACCAGAACAUCGUCCUUUCAAAGGGACGCAUGGAAAACAACGUUAAGCUUGUCCAUGGCCCUGCCACAUGGAACGUCAAUGAAGUGGUAUCCUACGCCAAUAACAAUGGUCACCGCGAUAUGAACAUCCACUGGACAGUCGCUUGCACACACUAUGAGAUCGAUACCUCUGGUUCCUUUGCACUGGAGUUCUCUCCAAAUCACCUGAAGGGUGACUAUCACUUCCAACUGUCUCCUGGGAGAGAACAGGUCAUCCUAGUGGAAUUCAGUCAUCAGUAUGACGUCGAAACACUCGGACGUAUCAACGUGCAGGCUGAGGACCUGAAGUCUUCCCUUGAAUUUGUUUUCAAUAAGAUCGCAGCUGGCCACUACAAAGCUCAGAAUACUAAAUUUCCACGAUUUUCUGGACGUAAACAAAAUUCCAUGACAUUCCAGGUCUGGAAAUAUCCAUUUCCAUUUCCAUGGUUCUCCAUGACCCAAUCCGCACUAAAUCACCGUUGCGUAAGGUUCCAAUACCACGGACUGGAUAAGACAACGAUAAGCAGGCCGACCUUCAGCCUCGGAGGCGACUAUAAAAGCGCGCUCAGCCAAGGCACGGCAGCCAGUAGAAUCAUAAUGCCCAAACUCGAUCAUUCUUCUUCAGGACCAACGGGCCAAAGAUCAACCUGCGCCCUGCACUGCAAUGACGCGGAAAGUUAUGCAUAUGAAAGCGGCAAAAGUUAUGUUUACGAAUACUCGGUGACGACCUCCACCGCCCUCCUGGAAACCUUUGAGGACGACGCCCACUUGCACAUCACCGCCAACGCCCACAUCGAUGUUUCUGCCCCCUGCGAGUACAUCCUCAAGUUGACCGACGUCAAUCUUGAUGGAUCGUCUCACGGACCAGAGUUCGCUGCUGCUGUUACCAAGUCUCCUUGCGCUUCUCCUUCCAAGAUGGCCAAGUGGAGAGUAUCUGCGGCGAAGCAUCUGAGCCGGCCUGGGUCCUUAACUUCAAGAGAGGUGUCCUUUCUACCUUCCAGAACUCCAUGGCCCAUCAGGGACAUUAAGGAGACAGACAUCUCUGGUGUUUGCAUGACUCACUACAAUGCUACAGUAGAGGGCAGCGUUGUCACCAUUGAUAAGGUCAAGGACUUAGCCACAUGUACUCAGCGACCUGACCUGACCUUCAUCCCCUCAACUGGAUACAUCAGUGACUCUCCAGUCCAGAGCCUCCCAAUCUUUAAAAGCUCAAGCAAGUGUCACCAAAGGGUAGAGGAAGGCCUUCUGAAGACGGCAGAAUGUGAGGAGACCCACGUGUUCCGUCCCUUCUCCAGCGAAAAGGGAGGAGCUGUUACAACUGCCAAGACUACCAUGAUUCUCAUGUCUCAGGAACGACUUACUCCUAUCACAGACUUUGACUUCAAGCGCAAUACACUGGCUUUCGAGCACACACUCGCACCAGAAGCUCAGCUUGAAGCAGUUGAGGAGAUCUUGAGCAAUCUGGAGAUUGCUUCCAACAAUGAAAUCCUUCCAGAGGUUCCUUCACUAUUUGCCAAACUCGUGUCAUCACUCAAGGAACUGGAUUACCCUCAGCUCAACACUGUUUACAACAAUGCUAAAGAAACUCACACACGGAAGUUCCUGGUUGACGCUAUGCCACUGGUGGGAACAGCUGCUUCUUUUGGUGUGGUCAGAGACAUGUUCCUCAAUGGGGACAUGACAGAAUCUGAGGCUGAUGUGUUCUUCACUUCACUGGCUUUCUUCAAGAACCCAACAGCAGAAAUGUUUACUGCUCUUGCUCCUUUACUCGAGAACAACCCAAGCCAAAAAGCAAUGUUGGGAACUUCUGCUCUCAUCAACACCUUCUGCAAAAUCAAUGAAGACUGUGGUGCCGAUUCCAGUGUCCAGCAAGCACUUGGCAAUGCUGGCCGAUGGGUUAAUGCCAACUCAGUCCUAAGGCGAUGCUAUACUGAAGAUAAUGAGAUGGAAGUGCGAGUGGCAGCUAUUGACGCAUGGAGGCACACUCCAUGUGAAUAUGACCGAUCUCACCUUCUGGCUGCUUUCCAAGAUGAAACUCAGGACACAGAGGUUCGCAUUGCAGCCUACCUUGCUCUCAUGACCUGUCCUACUCCAGACCUUAUCAAUACCAUCAAGGACCGUCUCACUUCAGAAGGUGUCAACCAGGUGGGCUCCUUCAUCUGGACUCAUAUGACCAACAUGCAGGAAUCAGCUGCUCCAGAAAAACAGUGGGCUCGUCAAAUGAUUGGCGAGGAACUUCUCCAGAAAAAGUUCAGUACCGAAGCCCUCAAGUUUUCUCGCAACUAUGAAUCCUCUUUCUUCAUGAAUGAAAUCAACACUGGGGCUUCAGUUGAAAGCAAUGUCAUCUUCUCCAGCAAGUCCUACCUGCCACGUUCUGCAAUGCUGAACCUCACCCUCGACCUCUUUGGACAGUCUAUCAACUUCUUUGAGGUUGGUGGAAGAAUCGAAGGUUUUGAGGCUUACAUUGAACGCUUCUUUGGUCCUAGAGGAUAUUACCCAGAGGAAACCAUUGAAACCAUCCUAAGGAAUAUGCGACAGAACAGUGACGCUGAUGCCACCACGCUUGAAGGCUUCCUUGACCACAUAACUGAUGAACCGAAGGGAUCCUACUACCUCCGAGUUUUGAUGAAUGGAAACUUCAAGGCUCGUAGUCUCAAGAAUAUAAACAUUGAAGGACACCUCCAUCCUUCGGCCGCAGUUCAAAUUGAUGGCGUUAUGCUCGUCGAUGCCCACGUGUCUCGCACUGGACUGAAGAUGUCUUCCAACCUUCACACCUCCACAUUCCUUGAUGGCAAGCUUCAGAUCAAUGGUGGUAAACUAGUCGAUACCGAGUUCUUCUACCUGGAAGAUGAUCAAGAGAUCCGAAAGGAAGUUGCAAACCUCAUCCAAGAAGAGAGCUGCACUAGUGGAGUCAGUGGCGUUGCCUUGUGUGGUGAAUACAGCUACGCUCCUUGCUCGGAAUAUGGCCCAAGCUUCCCCUUCACAGGACCUUUUGCAACAAGUGUUCAUUUCAAGAAGACAAACACUCAGACUGGAUAUGUCCUGCGCUUCACUCACGAAGAUGAUCAGUUUGUUUUCUUGUUUGACACACCAGGAUCACAAACAGAUCGUAAAGUCCUUCUUACUGUUACCAAGGCUGCUAAAGCAAUCAGCUUUGAUCUUCACACGCCAUUUAAAUCAGUCCAAGGUAGUGGCGAAUAUCUCUGGCAGAAGAAUAACAAGAACACUAAGCUGGCACUCGUUGUUGAUGAAAAUCAACAAUACAUGCUAGAGGCUGGUCUACGUACAAGCGGAAAAACAGUCAAGACACUUGUCCCAUCUUUCAUUCUCACUUCCCCUACUGGUCAAGUAUUGAAUGUACAAGGAAACUUCCAGGCCAACACGGAUGCUGCUAAAUAUGUUGCUGAUGUUACCAUCUCGGAGAUGACUGCAUCCCCCAUCAUUGUACACGCAUCGUUUGAGGGCGAAAGUAACUCUGUUGCCAUGAACGUUGAUCUGAAAACACCAAUCAUUGACACAUUGGUCAAGAGUGAGUUUGGUUAUGGUGAGAACUUCCUUUCAUCCAAGGUGGAAGCAGAGUACAGUAUUAUGAAAGAGGCCAAACAGACGGUCCACCAUUCUGCCCUUCUCAAGAAGGAAACCACAGAGGACCUCUCCAAGUACACCAUUGUCUUUGACGUCUCCCCAUCACAGUACCCUGAAAUGACAUUAGAUUAUAACCAGAACAUCGUCCUUUCAAAGGGACGCAUGGAAAACAACGUAAGCUUGUCCAUGGCCCUGCCACAUGGAACGUCAAUGAAGUGUCGCUGCACACACUAUGAGAUCGAUACCUCUGGUUCCUUUGCACUGGAGUUCUCUCCAAAUCACCUGAAGGGUGACUAUCACUUCCAACUGUCUCCUGGGAGAGAACAGGUCAUCCUAGUGGAAUUCAGUCAUCAGUAUGACGUCGAAACACUCGGACGUAUCAACGUGCAGGCUGAGGACCUGAGUCUUCCCUUGAAUUUGUUUUCAAUAAGAUCGCAGCUGGCCACUACAAAGCUCAGGAUUUAUAAAGAACAGAGGUGUCUGGUGGCUUUUAAUGAGAAAGAAAUGGCUUUGGAAGGAAACUUUAAGGAUAAUUCCAUGGCCGGUAAAGUCAACACCAUUGUCGAUGGAUUCUUCAAGACGUCCGACUUCGACUGGAAAUCCAACCUGGUAUCUAUGCAGACAAGGACAAGGCCAAUGUUAACUUCAAGAUUAAUGCCGACGGCAACGAAUACAUGGCCAAAUUUGAGGGCACCCGCACUUCCCUUCUCGUUGAAUCGAACUUCGCCAAACACAUUCUUGUUGAUGCCCACGUAACCAGUACACAGGACAUGAGGAAACUACAUGUUGCUGCUGAGUGGUGGAUCAUACAACUUUCAUAUGGUGACAGGGAAAUGUCCAUCCUUGGCAAGCUAAUUGACAGUGGUGUGGAGGUGGAAACCAAAUGGGCUUCUGACAAGAGAAUUUUUGUCAAUGUUCACUACACACUUGGCAAUACCAAUUCGCUGGCAGCUACAGUGCAGACGCCAUUCCAAGGUUGGGAAAAACAGGAUGCCACCUUUACCUUCUCCAUCAAGGAUUAUGAAGUUGAGAGCCGAUUUUCUGCUACAUGGAAGAACACACAGCAAAUGGCACUUAUUGUCACUGGUAAGGUAGAACCUGGACUCUUUACCAAUGCUCUUUCCACCAAAGUUGCAUUCACAAGCACCUUUGAUAACUAUGAGCGUAUCGAAUUCUCUCUGGAUCAUAACAUGGUUGAUUCUACCAUCAAGACUCAUUUGGAGGGCGCCUGGAACCAAGAGAAAAUGGAAGGCAACUUCCAACUCACUCCUAACACCAAUGGUGUAGAUGCUCGAGCUACCUUCACUUCCCUGUCACAGAGAACAUCCUUGUGACAUUGCAUCAUGAGUUACUCAACAGUUGUCUACCACAUUGAAGUGAAAUAUGGACAAGAGAUCUCUACUGCUACUGCCACAGGUCACGUGGAUCUUAGUAAUGUACAUGACAUCACUCUGGUGUUCAAGGUUGACACCCCUGUUUCUUUGAUCCCUGAGAUAAAUGCCAAUCUUAAGUACUCCCUGAGUGGAGAAAGUCUCAACUUGAUCACUGAAGGUAAGAUUGGGGAGAAGAAAAUCAUGCUUAAUGUAAGCGGCCGGCGGACUGUCAGUGGCGACACUACGGACAUUUCUGGAGACGUUCGCUUCAUCACUCCUUUCACUUACCCUCUGACAGCAUCUCUCAAGCACACCCAUGACAUGGAGCACUUUACAUCACAGUUCGAGAUGACCAGGAUCUGGUCUACAUACGGUAGCGUCAAGGUGCAUGCUCAAGGACACAUGCUCUCCAAGAAUGAUGUAGAAUUCAAGGUUGACGUUUCCAGCCCAGUAAAUAAGGGAUCAAUCGCCUUCAAGCACACUGUCACUAACACCAAGAUGGAUUCCUCAGUUGAUGUCAUUUUCAACUCUGAACGUAUUCAUAUGUCUGUGGGUGGACUUCUGGAUGUGUCUAGGAACUUGGCAAACAUUGAAGCUGAAGUUACUUCCACUUUCAGUGGCCUAGAUGAUGUAAAAGUCAGCAUCGAUAGCAAGAAGGAUGACAACACAAGAACUUCCAACAUAGUUCUCAUGAAGGGAACAAAAUCUGUUGUUAUUGACCAUACCAUUACCUUCAAUGAUUGGUUCAACUGGGAAAACUCCUUUAUUGUGAAUGGAGUCUACAAAUUAAGCAACAAGCAGAUGCAUGCUGGCUCUCUGUAAAACACCAACUUGAGUACAUGUGGGAUCGCCAACUUGUGCAAUUCGAAGGAACUUUCGACAAGAAGAUCUCUGGAAAUACCCGUCAGAUUGAUGCCCAGGUCUCCCUUUCCACUCCUUGGACUGAGGACAUGAAACUUGAUUUGCACCACCAAGAUGAUGGUGUUGAGUACAAACCAACACUUAUCAUUGAGUACAGGCCUGGAAUGAAGAUUGAAGUUGCCUCUGUUCUGAAAUGCGAUUCAUCAUUCUUCUACACUGCAUCCACUCUUACAACACCAUUCUGGCAGCCAAUGGGAUACAAACUCAACAUUGACUUCCAGCCAAGGAAGACUGCUACUCUUGUUUUAACCCGUGGAGCCAACAGAACUACUAUUGACAUCACAGGAAAAAUUGAACAAGGAAAGGUAGAUGGUGAGCUGCAUAUCGAUUCUACAUAUCUUACCAAACCGGUUUCUCUGGAGGUGUUCUAUGACAUCAUUUCAGCCGAAAAGAAAGUGAACUUGGCGCUUGAUUUUGACAAGAGGUAUGAGAUAACAGGAGUCAUUGCUGGUCACCUUAAACAAGCUAAAUGGUCUCUUAUGAUGGACCUUCCUCUUGAAGCUGUACAAAAAGUUGGUUUUAGUGGCGAGUACAAUGUUGAAGCCAUGCCCUUCACUGCCAACAGUACUAAUUUUCACCCAGAAAUACCAGGUAAAUGGCAAGAUCAACGUGGAUGAAUUCCAAAUCAAUAUGGAUUUGAAUGGAAACUGGAAGUUGGUCAGCAGGAACUACCAGGAACUACGCUGGUGUAGAAAUCGACUUCCAGUCACCACUUACGACACUGGACAACAUGUCUAUCUCAGCAAUGUAUGACUUCCGUAGUGAAAAGAAAGUGACCCUCAAGAUGACACGUAACUCAAAGGAAAUCAACCUUUCUGGACGACUUGAAGGACAAACCAUUGUUUUUGAAGGCACAACUCCAUUCAGUGGAUGGGAAACCCUUAAGGCCUCAUUCUUCAUCUCCAGCUCUGCUGUUAAAGCCUUUGUGUCCAGGAAUGACCGCAAGAUUGAGGUUACAGGAACACUGCACAUCAGAAAAGUCAAGGGAAAGAUCAAUCUCACCAUCAAUACUCCAUAUGCUGGCUAUGAAACCAUUGCUGUUGACACAAGCUACAGCUUACAGGGCCAGGUGAAAACAGUGGAGUUUGAAGCCAAAUUUGGCUCGCAAGAACUCUCUUUGAAGGGAGACAUCAAGACAAACAACAUCCUAGCUCCUGAGAUGACCCUCAAUAUCAUUACUCCAUUUGAAACUGUAAGAACUCUUGGUGGAGAAGCUCACUGGGACCUGAGAAACCUUGUCAAGACUGCCGAAGUGAAGGCUUUCCGCAAUGACCGUCACUACCACUGGCAGUUAGAGGCAGCUGCUGAUAGUCCCCUAAAGGGUUAUGCCAAAUCCAAGAUCACAACUCCCAUUGCUGGAUGGACAACAGUCAGUUUGGAAGGAAACUUUGAUUUCACCUCCAUGCCUUACAGGGCACUUUUUACUUACAAUAAAGAAGGAGUUAUCAACACAUUUGAAGUACAAGCUAGUGUAGCAGAAACUGCAGUAUCUGGUGAAAUUACAACACCAAUCUCUGGCUGGGAGAAGAUUGCUUUGAAUGGCGACUAUUCUCUGGUUAACAACCUUCUGUCUGGAAAUGUGGAGAUCACCAAAGUUCUGACAAUAUCAUCUCAAUGGGGAGAUUGCUUUUAAUACUCAGAAGCCGAAGUUGAAUAUUGGCAUCAGGACACCUCUAGCAAAUGCUGCUGAUAUUGAGCUGGUUCUUGAUGCUAAUCUAGUUGAUACAGAAAAGAAUUUCCACAUUACCUUCAAAAGGAAUGACAUCACUUAUUCUGCAGAUUUCACAGGCCAAAUGAUCUACAAAACAGGAUUCGUGAAGCUGCAUACAACUUCGCCAAUUCCAGGUUUUACAUCCCUGGAUGUUGAUGCCAAAUACGACUUUACUGGAGACGUGAAAACUGCCGAAGCCAAUCUUAUGAAGGAAGGAAAUAACCAGCAUAUUUCACUGACCUCCACAGUCAAUGACAACGAUUUCCAUGUUGAAGUUGAAACACCAUUUGCUGGUUUUGAAUCUGUGAAGAUGGACGGAGAUUACGCUUACCUCAAUAAUAAACACAGUGUCUCAGCUUUCAUUUGAGAAGAAUAGUCAGAAGUAUGACUUCCAUGCUGAGAUUUCACUCAAUGCCAACUCGGUUACCCUGACACUGGUAACCCCAAUAGUAGACAUUAAGCAUGUUGUCAUUAGUGGCAAUUACCAGGCUAUUGAGAAUGGAAUGGAAUGUUCUCUUGUCAUUGAAAGAAACCAGGAUAAGUUUGAGUUUAAUGCUCAAGGGUAUUUUACACCCAAGAUCAGAUCUCCACUCUCACUGGAGAUGCCUGUUGAAGGCUGGAGGAAGCUUGAGCUGGAUACCCACUAUGAUGUUAUCUCCGACAAGAAGUCUGCUGAGAUCUCUUUCCAGAGAGAUUCACUGAUGAAAAAGCUGUAUGUUGAGGGAAGCUACAAUCUGAAAUAUGGAUCUUUUAAGGUUAUGACUCCUAUUGAAGACUUCAGAGUCCUAGGUGCUGAAUAUACACUAAACCUUGAUGAAUAUAACAAGAAACUGGAUGCUUCUGUAAAGAUCAGUCAAAACUCCAAUGAAUGGGCUUUCGAGGCACAUGGACAAUUCAGUGAUGACAACAUUGUCAUUAAGUUCCAGACACCAUUUGAAGGUUUGACACCAUUGCUGUAGAAGGAAACUAACUAUGGAAACAGAUCUGGAAGAGGUGUCAUUCAGUUUGGACCUUAUAAGUUUACCACCAGCAUUUCCUACGCAAAUGAUAAUAUGUCCUUUGAUCUGACGACUCCCUUUGAUGUUAUCAAGACUGUGUCCCUUUCAGCCCGGUACAGCUGGACCACCAGCCAAAAGCUACUAAACACUUACAAUGACAAGAACUUUGUUCUCUCAAGUUCUCUGCAGCUCUCUACAAGGGCCUCUAACAUCACCUUCCAGGCCACAACUCCUUUCGAGGGUUUCCAGAACUCCUUCAUUGAAAUCAAGUAUGACAUUGAUAACAGAGAGGAGCUCCUUGCAUCUCGUGUCAGUGUAGAUGAUCACAGCUACAGCUUUGUUGUAGGUGGAUAUAUUGAGGACAAGCUAGCCGUGUUCAAGUGGAACCUUAACUCUCCUCUCACUGGCUGGACUGAUGCCAAGUUUGUAGCUAAGAUUGAUCUUUCCAGUGAAAAUAAAAACUUGGAAAUCUCCCUUGAGAAAGAAGGAGACCUUAAAGCCAUUGCAGUCUCUGGCAAGUUCAUUGGCAGUACACUGGACUUUAAUCUGCGAACUCCUUUCAGAGGGCUCAAUAAUUUCAAUGUGUUUGGUUCUCUUAACCGGUCAAAGAGGUCUCUUGAAAUGAGAAUGAUGAAUGAUGCAGGACAAGCAUCUUUAGCUGCAAUUUCAACUCCCUCAGAUUCAACAUGAAGACUCCAUUUGAAAGGGCAGAACAGAUCUCCUGGGAGGUCACCAAGACUGGUGAAGGCUCCUACAAGGCUGAAUGGAGGAGGAAUGAUAAUUAUGCCAUAAUCAUGAUAGAAAAGGAUGGAAAGAAAAAUUCUUUCCAAGUGGAUGUGAAGAGUGAGUUUCAAGGAUGGGGAGAUCUUGGCUCUUACUGGAAGACUAGAUCAAGAUACAAAACAGGCCUACCUCAGUGGAGCCAUCAAUGAACAGAAAAUCACCAUCUCUGGAUCAGGUUCCUUUGGUAACAAAAUCCAAUAUACCAUGAAGAUUGAAACACCCUAUGAAAACUACAGAGUUGUAGAUGUUCAAGUAGAUUAUGUGAAGAGAAGGAACACAAUGAAGAUCGAGGCUUCUUCAUCCUCUUCUGAUUUCCAUCUUCUUUGGUCACGCUCAGGAUCAGGCCUUGAAGCCCACCUUAUUGUACCUAAUUCACAGCAGAAUACUGAAAUUUCCAUUAACCUCACCCCUACUCAAGGAAAAAUAACCAUAACAUCACGAUUCGAGCCUAUCAGGGAUUACCUCAAGAAUACCAUGUUAACCUUGGUCAGAAUGAUAUCACUGCUGACCAUAUUAUCAAGCUGAAUGGUCAUGAGGUUUUCAAGAUGGACUUUGAGAGGAAUGCUUCUGAACAGAAGGGACACCUGGAAAUUCACAUUCAUGUAGCAGAACGCCACACAACUAUUCAUUUCCAUCGUGAGGGCUUUAGCAAGCUUAAUUUCCUCUUUAAACGUGAGGUUCCCCAGUAUGGCGAGAAACACUUCAAGGUCGACAUAACUGGAUCAGGAGCAUUACCACAAAAGGGUGCACUUGAUAUUGUUGUUGAGAACACCUUCCGUGAACCAGCGAGAUCCAUCAAUGCACGUGUUGAAGUAGACCGGACUGGUGCCCGAAAGAAAAUCAAGUUGGAAGUUAUUCCACAACCAAGCAGACUGUAUUUUUCAACCUUGACUAUGAUGCAGACCUCCAAAGCCCACGACACGGAGACUUCACUUUGAGCAUUACAACCUCCUGCCAGACUCAAUGA
Penaeus vannamei (Pacific white shrimp) is the source of this 13919-nucleotide non-coding RNA. NCBI's taxonomy places the organism in Eukaryota, Metazoa, Arthropoda, Malacostraca, Decapoda, Penaeidae. The record is from RefSeq and is a predicted model, not a curated record.